This 599-nucleotide ribosomal RNA is filed under the name Scathophaga furcata. RNAcentral describes it as "partial 12S ribosomal RNA". The record is from RNAcentral. Lineage: Eukaryota; Metazoa; Arthropoda; Insecta; Diptera; Scathophagidae.
UUUCACAAUACUAUUACCCUAUAAUUAAAAUUAUUUUUUCUUUAUUAAAUACUAAAACAAAUCUCUAUAUAAUUAUUUUUAAUAAUUUAAAAUUUAAAAAAUAUAAAUUAAUAAAUAAAAUAUAAUCAAUUUAUAUUGAUUUGCACAAAAAUCUUUUCAAUGUAAAUGAAAUGCUUUACUGAAUAAGCUUUAAAUUGCAUUCUAGGUACACUUUCCAGUACAUCUACUAUGUUACGACUUAUCUUACCUUAAUAGUAAGAGUGACGGGCGAUGUGUGCAUAUUUUAGAGCUAAAAUCAAAUUAUUAAUCUUUAUAAUUUUACUAUCAAAUCCACCUUCAAUAAAUAUUUCAAAUUUAUAUUCGUUUAAAUAAAUUUAUUGUAACCCAUUUCUACUUAAAUAUAAGCUACACCUUGAUCUGAUAUAUUUUCUUUUUAAAAAUUAUGAAAAUUAACAUUCUUAUAAAAUAUUCUAAUAACGACGGUAUAUAAACUGAAUACAAACUUAAGUAAGGUCCAUCGUGGAUUAUCGAUUAUAGAACAGGUUCCUCUGAAUAGACUAAAAUACCGCCAAAUUUUUUAAGUUUCAAGAACAUAACUA